GGACAGGCCCCCGGAAUCAACGUGUCAGCGGCUCGAAAAUCGGUUUUCUUGAAGAUGGAUGGAUGCUUAAAUGAGUAACCGGCAGUUUACGUUGACGAUCGUCACCUGAGCCAUCGAACCGAGCGCGGUCCUCACGUGAGGCGUGAUCACAGCAGCUGCAUAUAGUCAUCCAGGCUAUUGCUUAUGCCGUCAAAGAAGCAGGACUGAAGGGGGUUUGACCGCGAUGCGACGGAAACUGAGCCCCGGAGCCCGGCAACAGAGGUGACCCAGGAAGCUGUCACUCCCUCCUUAAAGCUCCGCGUGAGUUAGCCUCACGAAGGAAACUUGCGAAUAAAUAACUACACUGUCCGAAAGGUAAGCUCCGAUAGCCAGAAUACACCAAAAUGAGUUUAUGCUGCUCCACAUCAACUGAA
Paramormyrops kingsleyae is the source of this 413-nucleotide long non-coding RNA. RefSeq lists it as uncharacterized. The record is from RefSeq and is a predicted model, not a curated record. Lineage: Eukaryota; Metazoa; Chordata; Actinopteri; Osteoglossiformes; Mormyridae.